Molecule: ribosomal RNA, 1369 nt
Filed under: uncultured bacterium
Lineage: Bacteria
Description: bacterial SSU rRNA
Rfam family: Bacterial small subunit ribosomal RNA
Source: RNAcentral
GACGAACGCUGGCGGCGUGCCUAAUACAUGCAAGUAGAACGCUGAAGAGAGGAGCUUGCUCUUCUUGGAUGAGUUGCGAACGGGUGAGUAACGCGUAGGUAACCUGCCUUGUAGCGGGGGAUAACUAUUGGAAACGAUAGCUAAUACCGCAUAACAAUGGAUGACACAUGUCAUUUAUUUGAAAGGGGCAAUUGCUCCACUACAAGAUGGACCUGCGUUGUAUUAGCUAGUAGGUGAGGUAACGGCUCUCCUAGGCGACGAUACAUAGCCGACCUGAGAGGGUGAUCGGCCACACUGGGACUGAGACACGGCCCAGACUCCUACGGGAGGCAGCAGUAGGGAAUCUUCGGCAAUGGGGGCAACCCUGACCGAGCAACGCCGCGUGAGUGAAGAAGGUUUUCGGAUCGUAAAGCUCUGUUGUAAGUCAAGAACGAGUGUGAGAGUGGAAAGUUCACACUGUGACGGUAGCUUACCAGAAAGGGACGGCUAACUACGUGCCAGCAGCCGCGGUAAUACGUAGGUCCCGAGCGUUGUCCGGAUUUAUUGGGCGUAAAGCGAGCGCAGGCGGUUUGAUAAGUCUGAAGUUAAAGGCUGUGGCUCAACCAUAGUUCGCUUUGGAAACUGUCAAACUUGAGUGCAGAAGGGGAGAGUGGAAUUCCAUGUGUAGCGGUGAAAUGCGUAGAUAUAUGGAGGAACACCGGUGGCGAAAGCGGCUCUCUGGUCUGUAACUGACGCUGAGGCUCGAAAGCGUGGGGAGCGAACAGGAUUAGAUACCCUGGUAGUCCACGCCGUAAACGAUGAGUGCUAGGUGUUGGAUCCUUUCCGGGAUUCAGUGCCGCAGCUAACGCAUUAAGCACUCCGCCUGGGGAGUACGACCGCAAGGUUGAAACUCAAAGGAAUUGACGGGGGCCCGCACAAGCGGUGGAGCAUGUGGUUUAAUUCGAAGCAACGCGAAGAACCUUACCAGGUCUUGACAUCCCGAUGCUAUUUCUAGAGAUAGAAAGUUACUUCGGUACAUCGGUGACAGGUGGUGCAUGGUUGUCGUCAGCUCGUGUCGUGAGAUGUUGGGUUAAGUCCCGCAACGAGCGCAACCCCUAUUGUUAGUUGCCAUCAUUCAGUUGGGCACUCUAGCGAGACUGCCGGUAAUAAACCGGAGGAAGGUGGGGAUGACGUCAAAUCAUCAUGCCCCUUAUGACCUGGGCUACACACGUGCUACAAUGGUUGGUACAACGAGUUGCGAGUCGGUGACGGCAAGCUAAUCUCUUAAAGCCAAUCUCAGUUCGGAUUGUAGGCUGCAACUCGCCUACAUGAAGUCGGAAUCGCUAGUAAUCGCGGAUCAGCACGCCGCGGUGAAUACGUUCCCGGGCCU